UGUUUGACAGGGUUUUAAUUUGCCAAAGAUAGGGGCAUUAGACACAGUUCCCACGGUGACAACUUUAAAAGUAGGGCGCUCGCCAGACUAACAACGAAACCCGGAAAGGAAUCGCUUCUUGUGUUGACAUUCCCAAGAAAACUGUGAGCGUUCUCACGUCUCUACCUGUUUGUGGUCAAGUUCGUCCCUUUGACCGGUCCGUGACAUGGUCAAACAUUAAAGACACGCCGUGUUCUAACACGUAGACUCGACAGAGUCGUGAAGGUAACAAUGAAAGUCUACCAUCUUAACAUCCCAGACAGAGUCGUUGAUUCGAUAAACACCUGGGCGAACCGACAACGCGGCUGAAGACUGGAGCAGAAGCGAAGAUCAACAAAUGACGUUCGUUUCUUGAUAUAGAUCUUUGAAGUAACACGAGAGUCGAUUUUAUUGCCAAGUAUUACACUUAUAUGGUAAUUUAACGUGCAUUAUUUGUUGAUUGACAAUAAAUUGGCGUACUUCUGGUGUAGCUCCCGUUUGUAAGGAGAUGAGAUAAAAUAAGAAUGGGAAUGAAUUGGUACUAGAAGAGGGAAAGCUGUAACUCAUUUCUGUUACAUAGGUAUAAUUCGGUUAGGAGGGUUCUGCUGAUGACAUUUCCCAUGUUUCGUUUCGCGCCAUUUAGCAAAACGUCACGCAUGACGUCAGACGUACAUACAUCAACAGACAUAGGACGAUACCAUUUUGGCAUCCUUACACAGAGGGAUCCGAUUCUUACAUACCGAAUCAUGUAUACAACAGUCAGUGAAACACGAAAAGUACGUGCUCUGACACUUGCAGUCAGGCGAAAAAUUCAAAAACAUUCAACACUCAAGUCCGCGUGCUAAUUUUCUGACUCUUAGUGCUAGGUUUUUGCUUUAAUUGUUUUAUCAGACCGUUUCGCUCCUAUCUUAGGUAUCUAUCGUCCAAUCGGGCCUGCUUUGACUCAAGACAUCCUAGCCCCAACAAGCGCACGUGUUGGACGAGAUCCCGCGCAGACUCUUCUGAUGUUACGAUAAGCAUUCUUGCAUUACGCGCUCUUCUUAUCGCGGAGGUAAGAAAACUCGACAUUCCGCCAUAUUCGUUAUCUAUUUCACUUUUUAUAUCAGUGGGUUAACAUCAGUGCUAUGAUAAACCCGUUACCCCCACGGGUAAGAAAACAAGUGCUUUUUACAGUCCGUGUCGUGGGGUUUUAUCUAAAGAUAUCACAGAUGAAAAAUCUGGCAGCUGAUGAUGUCGGUAUCAAGAAAUAAUAACUUUUUACCAGCUGUUAAAUAUCAUAUGCAUGUGAAUAUGUCCCCUUUUUCGUGCACUUGAAAGGGGAUAUAACAUUUCAAACGUUGUGAUAUUACACAAAAUUCGUUUCAAAUAGUUUAAUGUUGGCUAUUAAACAAUCGUUUGCAGUUUCAAAUUCCUCAAAAAGCGUUUUUGGAGAAAGAUAUCUAACUGCUCAUAACCGUUGAUGGUUCGAUCCUUGUACUUUGUUCCAUUUCAG
Long non-coding RNA from Mizuhopecten yessoensis (Yesso scallop), 1510 nucleotides. RefSeq lists it as uncharacterized. Lineage: Eukaryota; Metazoa; Mollusca; Bivalvia; Pectinida; Pectinidae. The record is from RefSeq and is a predicted model, not a curated record. The transcript is spliced from 3 exons.